CAGACCGUUCUGGGCUGCCUCA
Molecule: microRNA, 22 nt
Filed under: Ophiophagus hannah (king cobra)
Lineage: Eukaryota; Metazoa; Chordata; Lepidosauria; Squamata; Elapidae
Also listed under: 3 other names
Description: oha-miR-15b-3p
Gene: oha-miR-15b-3p
Source: miRBase by way of RNAcentral